Long non-coding RNA from Humulus lupulus (European hop), 558 nucleotides. RefSeq lists it as uncharacterized. The record is from RefSeq and is a predicted model, not a curated record. NCBI's taxonomy places the organism in Eukaryota, Viridiplantae, Streptophyta, Magnoliopsida, Rosales, Cannabaceae. The transcript is spliced from 3 exons.
ACCUGGCGAGGGGGAGCAUAAGAUAAUGUCAUACAUUCGUUUGCAAAGAAACCUGCCUGGAUUUGAUCCAAAUACAAGGCAUUGUCUAUAUGGAUUGGAUGCAGAUCUUAUCAUGCUUGCACUAGCAUCCCACGAAGUCCAUUUUUCUGUCUUGAGAGAGGUUUGUGAUGAGCAAGUUAUUUUUUUUUGUUCUUUUAUAUAUAUAAGAAGAUUCCUGUAGUUUUCUCAUCAUCAUCAUCCUUUAUUGUUAUUUAUUUAUUUAAUUUUUGUAUAUGUAGGGUGUCAUGAAGAAUAAAUAUGUAAAAUCCAAGGAGAGGAAUGGGAAAAACGUGAAGGGCUUUUCAAAAGAGAAUCUAAAUGACCAUAUCUUGAACCAGAGAUUUCAGUUUCUCCAUAUUUGGAUCCUUAGGGAGUAUUUAGCAUAUGCUAUGGGAAUCCCAGAUGUUAAAGGAGAUUUGGAGCGCCUAAUUGAUGAUUUUGUUUUGAUGUGUUUGUUUGUGGGGAAUGACUUUCUACCUCACAUUCCCUCGUUGGAAAUAUCUGAGGGUUAUCACUAUA